CUUGCUUUCUUUGCCGGCGACCGGCGCACGGGUGAGUAACACGUAUCCAACCUGCCCUUUACUCGGGGAUAGCCUUUCGAAAGAAAGAUUAAUACCCGAUGGCAUAAUGAUUCCGCAUGGUUUCAUUAUUAAAGGAUUCCGGUAAAGGAUGGGGAUGCGUUCCAUUAGGUUGUUGGUGAGGUAGCGGCCCACCAAGCCUUCGAUGGAUAGGGGUUCUGAGAGGAAGGUCCCCCACAUUGGAACUGAGACACGGUCCAAACUCCUACGGGAGGCAGCAUG
RNAcentral lists this ribosomal RNA (279 nucleotides) under uncultured bacterium. RNAcentral describes it as "partial 16S ribosomal RNA". It matches the Rfam family "Bacterial small subunit ribosomal RNA", at positions 75 to 353 of the family's 1533-position model. The record is from RNAcentral.